This 207-nucleotide long non-coding RNA is filed under the name Homo sapiens (human). RNAcentral describes it as "HSALNT0337635". The record is from RNAcentral. Lineage: Eukaryota; Metazoa; Chordata; Mammalia; Primates; Hominidae.
ACAACAAGGGAAUCAACAGGCGUAUUCGGGCGUAUUCGGCUUGAGACGUGGCCUGCAAGACCCCGUCAGAACAGAAGAGCAAGAGAAACCAAGGAGAAGAGACCAAGAAGAAUGAGAAGAGAUGAAGGUGAAGAGACAGAACCUUCUGAGCUACUCCUUCCCUGCUAAAUCCCAGGCACAUGCUCCAGAUUCCUUAGGCAAAGGAAG